UGUGCGCGAGUCAUGGGUCUUGAUAAGCCCGGCGGCGCAAUGAAAGUACAGGUCAGGAGGAGUCCGGCCGAAUUCGGGAUCCCCGCUCCCUCGCGGGCGGGGCGCACCGAAGACCCGCCGCGUUCCACUCGUGGAUGUGGCGGAGUUUGAGCGCACACGUUCCCACCCGAAAGAUGGCGAUCUAUGCCCGGACAGGACGAAGCCAGAGGAAACUCUGGUGGAGGUCCGUAGCGGUUCUGACGUGCAAAUCGAUCGUCAGAUCUGGGUCUAGCGGCGUAAGACUAAUCGAGCCAUCUA
RNAcentral lists this ribosomal RNA (297 nucleotides) under Ryojius sp. LT-2015. RNAcentral's name for it is "partial 28S ribosomal RNA". It matches the Rfam family "Eukaryotic large subunit ribosomal RNA", at positions 681 to 946 of the family's 3401-position model. The record is from RNAcentral. Lineage: Eukaryota; Metazoa; Arthropoda; Arachnida; Araneae; Linyphiidae.